AGGAUAAACGCUGGCGGCGUGCCUAACACAUGCAAGUCGAACGCGCUUGCUAUCCGCGAGGAGGGUGAGCGAGUGGCGGACGGGUGAGGAACACGUGGGUGACCUACCUUUCAGUGAGGGAUACCGGCGAGAAAUUGCCGACAAGACCGCAUACGCUUCUCUUUUCAAGGGGAGAAGGAAAGCUUUUCGCAAGAGAGGCGCUGGGAGAUGGGCCUGCGGCCGAUUAGCUAGCUGGUGGGGUAAUGGCCUACCAGGGCGACGAUCGGUAGCUGGUCUGAGAGGACGAUCAGCCACACUGGGAUUGAGAACGGCCCAGACUCCUACGGGGGGCAGCAGUGAGGAAUUUUCGGCAAUGGGGGCAACCCUGACCGAGCAACGCCGCGUGCAGGACGACGGCCUUCGGGUUGUAAACUGCUUUUCUCUGGGACGAGCAAGGACGGUACCAGAGGAAGAAGCCCGGACUAACUACGUGCCAGCAGCCGCGGU
RNAcentral lists this ribosomal RNA (486 nucleotides) under uncultured bacterium. RNAcentral describes it as "SSU rRNA". It matches the Rfam family "Bacterial small subunit ribosomal RNA", at positions 26 to 521 of the family's 1533-position model. The record is from RNAcentral.